UACGUAGGGUCCGAGCGUUGUCCGGAAUUAUUGGGCGUAAAGGGCUCGUAGGCGGUUUGUCGCGUCGGGAGUGAAAACUCAGGGCUCAACCCUGAGCGUGCUUCCGAUACGGGCAGACUAGAGGUAUGCAGGGGAGAACGGAAUUCCUGGUGUAGCGGUGAAAUGCGCAGAUAUCAGGAGGAACACCGGUGGCGAAGGCGGGUCUCUGGGCAGUAACUGACGCUGAGGAGCGAAAGCGUGGGGGAGCGAACAGG
RNAcentral lists this ribosomal RNA (254 nucleotides) under uncultured bacterium. RNAcentral's name for it is "partial 16S ribosomal RNA". It matches the Rfam family "Bacterial small subunit ribosomal RNA", at positions 524 to 776 of the family's 1533-position model. The record is from RNAcentral.